This 141-nucleotide ribosomal RNA is filed under the name uncultured eukaryote. Its description in RNAcentral is "partial 18S ribosomal RNA". It matches the Rfam family "Eukaryotic small subunit ribosomal RNA", at positions 1299 to 1458 of the family's 1831-position model. The record is from RNAcentral.
UGGUGGAGUGAUUUGUCUGGUUAAUUCCGUUAACGAACGAGACCUCGACCUGCUAAAUAGUUUAGUGAAUGUUCGCAUUCGUCUGUAACUUCUUAGAGGGACUAUCGGUGAUUUAGCCGAUGGAAGUUCGAGGCAAUAACA